UACUUAGAAAACAAUGAGAUAUACCUAAUUUUCCCUGAGCCUUAUGGUUCAGAGAAAUUAAAGACUUUGGCUCUUGAUCCAGCUAUAUUAAACAACUUCUGUCCCUUUGUUUGUCAAAAGGGGCAUGGAAAAUCAACUACACAGGAUCUUGGAGAAGUAGAAGCCGUUCCAUCAGGAUUCAUGCCUGUACAUAGGCACCAAUAUAACCACCAAGGCAAUCCCCGGGUUAAGAAUGUCUCACAGCAAAAGAAGGAACUCCUCUGCAACUUGCUUUAUUGAAACAUCCAGAAGAAGUAACUCCAGUGAAUCUACAAGAAUUAUAAUAUAUAUGGGCAGAUCAAGAUCAUGGAGCCACUUAAC
Non-coding RNA from Pseudonaja textilis, 360 nucleotides. Lineage: Eukaryota; Metazoa; Chordata; Lepidosauria; Squamata; Elapidae. The record is from RefSeq and is a predicted model, not a curated record.